RNAcentral lists this non-coding RNA (23 nucleotides) under Arabidopsis thaliana (thale cress). Lineage: Eukaryota; Viridiplantae; Streptophyta; Magnoliopsida; Brassicales; Brassicaceae. The record is from RNAcentral.
UUGGUUCCUGAAUGGCUCUCUCU